UACGUAGGGUGCAAGCGUUGUCCGGAAUUAUUGGGCGUAAAGAGCUCGUAGGCGGUCUGUCGCGUCUGCUGUGAAAUCUCAGGGCUUAACCCUGAGCUUGCAGUGGGUACGGGCAGACUAGAGUGCGGUAGGGGAGACUGGAAUUCCUGGUGUAGCGGUGAAAUGCGCAGAUAUCGAGAGGAACACCGGUGGCGAAGGCGGGUCGCUGGGCCGAUACUGACGCUGAGGAGCGAAAGCGUGGGGAGCGAACAGG
RNAcentral lists this ribosomal RNA (253 nucleotides) under uncultured bacterium. RNAcentral describes it as "partial 16S ribosomal RNA". It matches the Rfam family "Bacterial small subunit ribosomal RNA", at positions 524 to 776 of the family's 1533-position model. The record is from RNAcentral.